This 471-nucleotide ribosomal RNA is filed under the name uncultured bacterium. RNAcentral's name for it is "bacterial SSU rRNA". It matches the Rfam family "Bacterial small subunit ribosomal RNA", at positions 28 to 480 of the family's 1533-position model. The record is from RNAcentral.
AACGAACGCUGGCGGCGGGGCUUAGGCAUGCAAGUCGAGCGAGAAAGCCGCAAGGCAAGUACAGCGGCGUAAGGGUGAGUAAUAGGUAGUUAACGUACCUUCGAGACGCGAAUAAUUCUCCGAAAGGGGUUGUAAUGCGCGAUGAGACCACGGUUCCUUCGGGAACAGGGGUCAAAGGUCGGGGAUCCUUCGGGACCUGGCGCUUGGGGGAGCGGACGACCUCCGAUUAGCUAGAUGGCGGGGUAACGGCCCACCAUGGCGAUGAUCGGUAGCCGGCCUGAGAGGGUGUUCGGCCACACUGGGACUGAGACACUGCCCAGACUCCUACGGGAGGCUGCAGUCGCGAAUCAUUCACAAUGAGCGCAAGCUUGAUGAUGCCACGCCGCGUGCGGGAUGAAGGCCCUUUGGGUUGUAAACCGCUGUCAAGUGGGGGAACCGUAGCGUGUUAACAGCGCGCUGCCUGACUGCCCG